UAGGGAAUAUUGCACAAUGGGCGAAAGCCUGAUGCAGCAACGCCGCGUGCGCGAAGAAGGCCUUCGGGUUGUAAAGCGCUUUUCUGGGAGAUGAGGAAGGACAGUAUCCCAGGAAUAAGGCUCGGCUAACUACGUGCCAGCAGCCGCGGUAAAACGUAGGAGCCAAGCGUUAUCCGAAUUCACUGGGCGUAAAGCGCGUGCAGGCGGCCCGAUAAGUUGGAUGUGAAAUCUCCUGGCUCAACUGGGAGAGGCCGUUCAAUACUGUUGGGCUCGAGGGCGACAGAGGGUGGUGGAAUUCCGGGUGUAGUGGUGAAAUGCGUAGAUAUCCGGAGGAACACCAGAGGCGAAGGCGACCUCCUGGGUCGUACCUGACGCUCAGACGCGAAAGCUAGGGGAGCGAACGG
This 404-nucleotide ribosomal RNA is filed under the name uncultured bacterium. RNAcentral's name for it is "bacterial SSU rRNA". It matches the Rfam family "Bacterial small subunit ribosomal RNA", at positions 355 to 775 of the family's 1533-position model. The record is from RNAcentral.